UGGGGAACUUUGGACAAUGGGCGCAAGCCUGAUCCAGCCAUGCCGCGUGCGGGAAGAAGGCCUUCGGGUUGUAAACCGCUUUUGUCAGGGAAGAAAUCUUCUGAGUUAAUACCUCGGGAGGAUGACGGUACCUGAAGAAUAAGCACCGGCUAACUACGUGCCAGCAGCCGCGGUAAUACGUAGGGUGCAAGCGUUAAUCGGAAUUACUGGGCGUAAAGCGUGCGCAGGCGGUUUUGUAAGACAGAGGUGAAAUCCCCGGGCUCAACCUGGGAACUGCCUUUGUGACUGCAAGGCUUGAGUGCGGCAGAGGGGGGAUGGAAUUCCGCGUGUAGCAGUGAAAUGCGUAGAUAUGCGGAGGAACACCGAUGGCGAAGGCAAUCCCCUGGGCCUGCACUGACGCUCAUGCACGAAAGCGUGGGGAGCAAACAGGAUUAGAUACCCUGGUAGUCCACGCCCU
This 457-nucleotide ribosomal RNA is filed under the name uncultured bacterium. RNAcentral describes it as "partial 16S ribosomal RNA". It matches the Rfam family "Bacterial small subunit ribosomal RNA", at positions 355 to 803 of the family's 1533-position model. The record is from RNAcentral.